AGUGAACGCUGGCGGUAGGCCUAACACAUGCAAGUCGAACGGCAGCACAGUAAGAGCUUGCUCUUACGGGUGGCGAGUGGCGGACGGGUGAGGAAUACAUCGGAAUCUACUUUUUCGUGGGGGAUAACGUAGGGAAACUUACGCUAAUACCGCAUACGACCUACGGGUGAAAGCAGGGGAUCUUCGGACCUUGCGCGAUUGAAUGAGCCGAUGUCGGAUUAGCUAGUUGGCGGGGUAAAGGCCCACCAAGGCGACGAUCCGUAGCUGGUCUGAGAGGAUGAUCAGCCACACUGGAGAUGAGACACGGUCCAGACGCCUACGGGAGGCAGCAGUGGGUAAUAUUGGACAAUGGGCGCAAGCCUGAUCCAGCCAUACCGAGUUGGUGAAGAAGGCCUUCGGGUUGUAAAGCCCUUUUGUUGGGAAAGAAAAGCAGCAGGUUAAUACCCCGCUGUUCUGACGGUACCCAAAGAAUAAGCACCGGCUAACUACGUG
This 492-nucleotide ribosomal RNA is filed under the name uncultured bacterium. RNAcentral's name for it is "partial 16S ribosomal RNA". It matches the Rfam family "Bacterial small subunit ribosomal RNA", at positions 29 to 507 of the family's 1533-position model. The record is from RNAcentral.